UGAGGAAUAUUGGUCAAUGGGCGGAAGCCUGAACCAGCCAUCCCGCGUGCAGGAAGACAGCCAUACGGGUUGUAAACUGCUUUUCCAGUGGGCGAAACACUCGUACGUGUACGAGAUUGACGGUACACUGGGAAUAAGCAUCGGCUAACUCCGUGCCAGCAGCCGCGGUAAUACGGAGGAUGCAAGCGUUAUCCGGAUUUAUUGGGUUUAAAGGGUGCGUAGGCGGAUGAAUAAGUCAGUGGUGAAAGGCUGCAGCUUAACUGUAGACUUGCCGUUGAUACUGUUUAUCUUGAGUAUGGUCAAGGCAGGUGGAAUGUGUAAUGUAGCGGUGAAAUGCUUAGAUAUUACACAGAACAUCGAUUGCGAAGGCAGCUUGCUGGGCCAUUACUGACGCUGAUGCACGAAAGCGUGGGGAGCGAACAG
Molecule: ribosomal RNA, 423 nt
Filed under: uncultured bacterium
Lineage: Bacteria
Description: bacterial SSU rRNA
Rfam family: Bacterial small subunit ribosomal RNA
Source: RNAcentral